GACGCUGGCGGUAGGCUUAACACAUGCAAGUCGUGCGAGAAAGUAUCUUCGGAUAUGAGUAGAGCGGCGGACGGGUGAGUAACGCGUAGGAAUCUACCUAGUAGAAGGGGAUAGCCCGGGGAAACUCGGAUUAAUACCGUAUACCUCCUUCGGGAGAAAGAAGGCCUCUCUUUGAAGCUUUCGCUAUUAGAUGAGCCUGCGUAAGAUUAGCUUGUUGGUGAGGUAAAGGCUCACCAAGGCGACGAUCUUUAGCGGGUCUGAGAGGACGAUCCGCCACAUUGGGACUGAGACACGGCCCAGACUCCUACGGGAGGCAGCAGUGGGGAAUAUUGGACAAUGGGCGCAAGCCUGAUCCAGCCAUACCGCGUGUGUGAAGAAGGCCCUAGGGUUGUAAAGCACUUUAAGUUGGGAAGAAAAGUUAUUGGUUAAUACCCAAUAACCGUGACAUUACCAUCAGAAUAAGGACCGGCUAAUUCCGUGCCAGCAGCCGCGGUAAUACGGAAGGUCCAAGCGUUAAUCGGAAUUACUGGGCGUAAAGCGCGCGUAGGUGGUUUAUUAAGUUGGAUGUGAAAUCCCCGGGCUCAACCUGGGAACUGCAUCCAAAACUGAUUCACUAGAGUACGAUAGAGGGAGGUAGAAUUCACAGUGUAGCGGUGGAAUGCGUAGAUAUUGUGAAGAAUACCAAUGGCGAAGGCAGCCUCCUGGAUCUGUACUGACACUGAGGUGCGAAAGCGUGGGUAGCGAACAGGAUUAGAUACCCUGGUAGUCCACGCCGUAAACGAUGUCAACUAGCUGUUGGAGAACUAUGUUCUUCAGUGGCGCAGCUAACGUAGUAAGUUGACCGCCUGGGGAG
RNAcentral lists this ribosomal RNA (853 nucleotides) under uncultured Gammaproteobacteria bacterium. RNAcentral's name for it is "bacterial SSU rRNA". It matches the Rfam family "Bacterial small subunit ribosomal RNA", at positions 32 to 880 of the family's 1533-position model. Lineage: Bacteria; Pseudomonadati; Pseudomonadota; Gammaproteobacteria. The record is from RNAcentral.